UACCGGCAGCUCAAGUGGUAGCCGCGAUUAUUGGGCCUAAAACGUUCGUAGCCGGAUAAGUAAGUCUUUGGUUAAAUCCUGCGACUCAACCGUGGGAAUUCUAGAGAUACUGCUUGUCUUGAGACCGGGAGAGGUGAGAGGUACUCCAGGGGUAGGAGUGAAAUCCUGUAAUCCUUGGGGGACCACCUGUGGCGAAGGCGUCUCACUAGAACGGCUCCGACAGUGAGGGACGAAAGCUGGGGGAGCAAACCGGAUUAGAUACCCGGGUAGUCCUAGGCGUAAAUGAUGCGAGUUAAGUGUGGGGGCAUCUACGAGAUGGCCCUGUGCUGUAGGGUAGCCGUUAAACUCGCUGCCUGGGGAGUACGGUCGCAAGGCUGAAACUUAAAGGAAUUGGCGGGGGAGCACCACAAGAGGUGGAGGCUGCGGUUCAAUUGGAUUCAACGCCGGA
This 448-nucleotide ribosomal RNA is filed under the name uncultured archaeon. RNAcentral describes it as "bacterial SSU rRNA". It matches the Rfam family "Archaeal small subunit ribosomal RNA", at positions 474 to 922 of the family's 1478-position model. The record is from RNAcentral.